GUGAAUCAUCGAAUUUUUGAACGCAAAUUGCACUCUCUUCUAAGAGUAUGCCUGUGUGAGUGUCAGCCUAAAUAAAAUCUACGUAUUCGCUGUUUCGCGGUGACAUUCGUCGGAAUUUGGGUCAUCUUAAACCUUAGGGUUUUUUAAGCGGCGUAAAAUUUUCUUUACGAUUCCACGAACGUUUCUAAGAUUUUACUACUUACACACGUUUAAGGUAUCGUUCUUUAUUAUACGUGGCCGUUGCAUCGGAUCGCGUCCAUAAAUU
RNAcentral lists this unclassified non-coding RNA (265 nucleotides) under Glomus sp. Its description in RNAcentral is "partial contains 5.8S ribosomal RNA and internal transcribed spacer 2". The stretch from base 1 to 65 matches the Rfam family "5.8S ribosomal RNA", at positions 84 to 154 of the family's 154-position model. The record is from RNAcentral. Lineage: Eukaryota; Fungi; Glomeromycota; Glomeromycetes; Glomerales; Glomeraceae.